CCUACGGGCGGCUGCAGUGAGGAAUAUUGGUCAAUGGGCGCAAGCCUGAACCAGCCAUCCCGCGUGAAGGAAGAAGGCGUUAUGCGUUGUAAACUUCUUUUCCAGGGGAAUAAAAUUUCGUACGUGUACGGAAUUGAAGGUACCCUGGGAAUAAGCAUCGGCUAACUCCGUGCCAGCAGCCGCGGUAAUACGGAGGAUGCGAGCGUUAUCCGGAUUUAUUGGGUUUAAAGGGUGCGCAGGCGGAAAGAUAAGUCAGUGGUGAAAUCCUGCAGCUUAACUGCAGAAUUGCCGUUGAUACUGUUUUUCUUGAGUGUGGUCAAGGAAGGCGGAAUGUGUAAUGUAGCGGUGAAAUGCUUAGAUAUUACACAGAACACCAAUUGCGAAGGCAGCUUUCUGGGCCGUUACUGACGCUCAUGCACGAAAGCGUGGGGAGCAAACAGGAUUAGAUACCCCUGUAGUC
This 460-nucleotide ribosomal RNA is filed under the name uncultured Bacteroidota bacterium. RNAcentral describes it as "bacterial SSU rRNA". It matches the Rfam family "Bacterial small subunit ribosomal RNA", at positions 338 to 795 of the family's 1533-position model. Lineage: Bacteria; Pseudomonadati; Bacteroidota. The record is from RNAcentral.